RNAcentral lists this long non-coding RNA (1203 nucleotides) under Parus major (Great Tit). RNAcentral describes it as "lncRNA (ENSPMJG00000001404.1)". The record is from RNAcentral. Lineage: Eukaryota; Metazoa; Chordata; Aves; Passeriformes; Paridae.
GUUUUCCUGCUGUUCUCCUGUAGGCAUUGCACAGGUUUUCGGAAAUUGUUUCCCUGCCCUUUUCACCCUCACAUUCCUCUCCUCCCAACAGACUGAGGCCAGAGGAGAAGAGCAAAGUGGAUUAGUUGGGGUUUUUUUCCUUCAGAAAUCUGGCAUCCUAUCUUUGCUUUCACACUUCUUGAUAUUCACCAUCACCAGUGGAAAAUAAAAGGAAGUUUAAAAUUCAGAGCUUGGUAGGUAAAAUAAAGAAAAACAAGAUUAACUAUGACAAUUAUGCUGAUUCUGAGGAUAAACAUUUUCCUCUUACUUUUUUCUUUUUUCUUUUUUUUUUUUUUGUAGGACUGCCUAUGGAUUCUAACACUGACUAGGCAUUUAAAAUCCUUCAUCUCUUUUUAAGUGAUGUUGGCAACCUAAUUUUGACUCCAUAUUUCCAUGAUGCUGAAGGAAAAAGAGAAAAAGAAUAAUUACAAAAAAGAAAAUAAGCAGAAAUUGUUUCAGUGAGGUGUUUUGAUCACCCCCAUGAGCUGUUUUCUUGCUGUGUUGUGCGUGACUGAAAAUCAGAAAGUGAAUCUGCUUAUUUCCAAAUGGAAGCUGACCAGACUCGUUUCAUCAGACUGCAGCAAAAAUAGCAAACAAGGGAAAAAUAAACGGAGUUCUGCAGCCACCUGUGCUAGAUCAUACAGAUAUGGGACCUGGGGGCUGUUUCUAAUGGCUCUGCAGUGGGAACAUCUUGCAAAAAGGUAAAGCUUUUCACAGUAGGCUUAGGCUUGCUGGACAGGAUUUACGUGGGGAAAGCAUGGGGUUUUGGAGGACAACAAAUUGGAAAAGGCUGAAACAAACACUUGCAUAUAACUUGUUCUGGAGUCUAGGGAGAGCAUAGGAGAGCCUCCUGUUUUGCCUGGACUAACCACCUACCCAAAUGCUCUUUGGACUCAAAAGGGGUCCUAAGGAUAAUUCCUGUCAGAGCCCAGGUGGCUCUGAGCCCAGCCCAGUAAAGGCAAGUUUUGGAGGGAUUGGCCUAUGGGGUAUGGAAGCAUAGAAGGCAGGGCUGGAGGAGAGCCCAAUGAAAUAUCUAGUCCUCCUCCUGAGCCAGGAAAACUAACAUAAUGAGUAUUUAAUUGCUUUAGUAUGGGCUUUUUGUAUAAAUUGUGUGUAAUCUUCAAGUUAUGCUGUACAUAUGCAAUAAAAUUAAGCAAAUAUUCA